This is a long non-coding RNA of Pecten maximus, 313 nucleotides long. RefSeq lists it as uncharacterized. The record is from RefSeq and is a predicted model, not a curated record. NCBI's taxonomy places the organism in Eukaryota, Metazoa, Mollusca, Bivalvia, Pectinida, Pectinidae. The transcript has 2 exons.
ACUGUCAUGGCGUUCGUCGCUGGUUUUCGGCGUAAUAGGAUUACAAUUGAAUUUUCGACUCAAAUCUCGAGGUUAGAAUGUCGAGAUCAUCCUAAAAUGAAGCACCAACGUUCACAUAUCCUCAAACCUUGUAGUGGUAAAGGUAGAAAGACUCGUGAACACUGACAUAAAUGUACCUAUUACAUAUAGCAUGGAUUCACCAUUUAGAUAUGGGGAGCGAUUUUGACAGCGGUUAUCGGCAUCACUUCUCGUAUUCGAUAAAAUAAAAGAGCAACUGACGACGGACAGCAGCUCGUACACGAUGGCUAAGAAA